CUAGGUUCUUGCUAGUUGUCUUGUUAAUGUGUAUUAGAUGGAUAAUUGAUGAAUCACAGCUACCUGAACCUUGGAGAUCUUCUUUCUCUGAAGAAAGCUGAGCACUGGUAUGGUCAUGAAACGCCCUGUACCAGAGAAGUCCUUCCUCUAAAAGUCCUUGGAAGACAAUGCUGUGUUCUGAAGACAGGGUCCAGAAAAGCAUAGGAGGAGAUUUAGAGUUUGUCCUCCGGUAGAGCCAUCAUCACCGCGAUAGCCAGCUCCAAACAACAGCACAACCCCACCUUGCCAAUGUCAGCAGACACUGAGGAGGUGCAAUUCUGUACACAUAAAGACAAGCGUGAGUGUCCUCCAAGAUAUGAGUGGGACUCCCAUGCAGAAAAAAUGAGGCCUGGUUACAACCAUGUUGUUUGGAGGAAUAAGUCAUCUUGGCAAAUAAAGAAGGGAAAAUGAGAGAAGACCACCUUCAGUAACUGUGGAACUCAAUGUGCAGCGACUAUUAGCUGUAAACAAGCAACUGGCUCCAGUCCCAUGCUGUCAGAAGUCUAUUGCAUAUUUUACUGUAGACAGUAUAAAAUAACUACCUAGUCAAGUUCAUUAAAAACAGGCUUAAAGCCCAACAUAAACCUUCUAUUUCUCAAAUGCAGAAUCUUAAAAGAAUCCUAAAGUAUCCUGCUGAAAUCCCGAUAAUUUAUUUCUUAGCAACUGAACGGAUGUUGACUGCUGGCUGGUGGGAGCUCUUUGAUGAACGCUAAAUAGCUGGGAUUUAGAACUGGCUAAAAAUAUCACGGUUUAGGUGUGAGGAAAAAUAAAUACCUAAGGUUUUAUUAACA
RNAcentral lists this long non-coding RNA (830 nucleotides) under Anser brachyrhynchus (Pink-footed goose). RNAcentral describes it as "lncRNA (ENSABRG00000004567.1)". The record is from RNAcentral. Lineage: Eukaryota; Metazoa; Chordata; Aves; Anseriformes; Anatidae.